CUACGGGCUGCAGCAGUGGGGAAUUUUGGACAAUGGGCGAAAGCCUGAUCCAGCCAUUCCGCGUGAGUGAUGAAGGCCUUCGGGUUGUAAAGCUCUUUCGGCCGGGAAGAAAUCGUGCAGGCUAAUAUCCUGCAUGGAUGACGGUACCGGACCAAGAAGCACCGGCUAACUACGUGCCAGCAGCCGCGGUAAUACGUAGGGUGCGAGCGUUAAUCGGAAUUACUGGGCGUAAAGCGUGCGCAGGCGGAUGUUUAAGCCAGAUGUGAAAUCCCCGGGCUUAACCCGGGAAUGGCAUUUGGAACUGGACAUCUAGAGUGUGUCAGAGGGGGGUGGAAUUCCACGUGUAGCAGUGAAAUGCGUAGAGAUGUGGAGGAACACCGAUGGCGAAGGCAGCCCCCUGGGAUAACACUGACGCUCAUGCACGAAAGCGUGGGGAGCAAACAGGAUUAGAUACCCCUGUAGUC
This 464-nucleotide ribosomal RNA is filed under the name uncultured bacterium. RNAcentral's name for it is "partial 16S ribosomal RNA". It matches the Rfam family "Bacterial small subunit ribosomal RNA", at positions 339 to 795 of the family's 1533-position model. The record is from RNAcentral.